RNAcentral lists this ribosomal RNA (441 nucleotides) under uncultured Hyphomonadaceae bacterium. RNAcentral describes it as "bacterial SSU rRNA". It matches the Rfam family "Bacterial small subunit ribosomal RNA", at positions 29 to 505 of the family's 1533-position model. The record is from RNAcentral. Lineage: Bacteria; Pseudomonadati; Pseudomonadota; Alphaproteobacteria; Hyphomonadales; Hyphomonadaceae.
AACGAACGCUGGCGGCAGGCUUAACACAUGCAAGUCGAACGAUAAGCUAUCUUCGGAUAGUGGACAGUGGCAGACGGGUGAGUAACGCGUAGCAACCUACCUAGUAGUACGGAAUAACGCUUAGAAAUGAGUGCUAAUACCGUAUACGCCCUUUUGGGGAAAGAUUUAUCGCUAUUAGAUGGGGCUGCGUUAGAUUAGCUAGUUGGUGAGGUAAGAGCUCACCAAGGCGACGAUCUAUAGCGGGUCUGAGAGGAUGAUCCGCCACACUGGGACUGAGACACGGCCCAGACUCCUACGGGAGGCAGCAGUGGGGAAUCUUGGACAAUGGGGGAAACCCUGAUCCAGCCAUGCCGCGUGAAUGAUGAAGGCCUUAGGGUUGUAAAAUUCUUUCGAUAGUGAAGAUAAUGACGGUAACUAUUAAAGAAGCCCCGGCUAACUCCG